UUAAGUUAUUAAGGGCGCACGGUGGAUGCCUUGGCACUAGAAGCCGAUGAAGGACGUUACUAACGACGAUAUGCUUUGGGGAGCUGUAAGUAAGCUUUGAUCCAGAGAUUUCCGAAUGGGGAAACCCAGCAUGAGUUAUGUCAUGUUAUCGAUAUGUGAAUACAUAGCAUAUCAGAAGGCACACCCGGAGAACUGAAACAUCUUAGUACCCGGAGGAAGAGAAAGAAAAUUCGAUUCCCUUAGUAGCGGCGAGCGAAACGGGAAGAGCCCAAACCAACAAGCUUGCUUGUUGGGGUUGUAGGACACUCUAUACGGAGUUACAAAGGACGACAUUAGACGAAUCAUCUGGAAAGAUGAAUCAAAGAAGGUAAUAAUCCUGUAGUCGAAAAUGUUGUCUCUCUUGAGUGGAUCCUGAGUACGACGGAGCACGUGAAAUUCCGUCGGAAUCUGGGAGGACCAUCUCCUAAGGCUAAAUACUCUCUAGUGACCGAUAGUGAACCAGUACCGUGAGGGAAAGGUGAAAAGCACCCCGGAAGGGGAGUGAAAUAGAACCUGAAACCGUGUGCUUACAAGUAGUCAGAGCCCGUUAAUGGGUGAUGGCGUGCCUUUUGUAGAAUGAACCGGCGAGUUACGAUUUGAUGCAAGGUUAAGCAGUAAAUGUGGAGCCGUAGCGAAAGCGAGUCUGAAUAGGGCGUUUAGUAUUUGGUCGUAGACCCGAAACCAGGUGAUCUACCCUUGGUCAGGUUGAAGUUCAGGUAACACUGAAUGGAGGACCGAACCGACUUACGUUGAAAAGUGAGCGGAUGAACUGAGGGUAGCGGAGAAAUUCCAAUCGAACCUGGAGAUAGCUGGUUCUCUCCGAAAUAGCUUUAGGGCUAGCCUCAAGUGAUGAUUAUUGGAGGUAGAGCACUGUUUGGACGAGGGGCCCCUCUCGGGUUACCGAAUUCAGACAAACUCCGAAUGCCAAUUAAUUUAACUUGGGAGUCAGAACAUGGGUGAUAAGGUCCGUGUUCGAAAGGGAAACAGCCCAGACCACCAGCUAAGGUCCCAAAAUAUAUGUUAAGUGGAAAAGGAUGUGGCGUUGCCCAGACAACUAGGAUGUUGGCUUAGAAGCAGCCAUCAUUUAAAGAGUGCGUAAUAGCUCACUAGUCGAGUGACACUGCGCCGAAAAUGUACCGGGGCUAAACAUAUUACCGAAGCUGUGGAUUGUCCUUUGGACAAUGGUAGGAGAGCGUUCUAAGGGCGUUGAAGCAUGAUCGUAAGGACAUGUGGAGCGCUUAGAAGUGAGAAUGCCGGUGUGAGUAGCGAAAGACGGGUGAGAAUCCCGUCCACCGAUUGACUAAGGUUUCCAGAGGAAGGCUCGUCCGCUCUGGGUUAGUCGGGUCCUAAGCUGAGGCCGACAGGCGUAGGCGAUGGAUAACAGGUUGAUAUUCCUGUACCACCUAUAAUCGUUUUAAUCGAUGGGGGGACGCAGUAGGAUAGGCGAAGCGUGCGAUUGGAUUGCACGUCUAAGCAGUAAGGCUGAGUAUUAGGCAAAUCCGGUACUCGUUAAGGCUGAGCUGUGAUGGGGAGAAGACAUUGUGUCUUCGAGUCGUUGAUUUCACACUGCCGAGAAAAGCCUCUAGAUAGAAAAUAGGUGCCCGUACCGCAAACCGACACAGGUAGUCAAGAUGAGAAUUCUAAGGUGAGCGAGCGAACUCUCGUUAAGGAACUCGGCAAAAUGACCCCGUAACUUCGGGAGAAGGGGUGCUCUUUAGGGUUAACGCCCAGAAGAGCCGCAGUGAAUAGGCCCAAGCGACUGUUUAUCAAAAACACAGGUCUCUGCUAAACCGUAAGGUGAUGUAUAGGGGCUGACGCCUGCCCGGUGCUGGAAGGUUAAGAGGAGUGGUUAGCUUCUGCGAAGCUACGAAUCGAAGCCCCAGUAAACGGCGGCCGUAACUAUAACGGUCCUAAGGUAGCGAAAUUCCUUGUCGGGUAAGUUCCGACCCGCACGAAAGGCGUAACGAUUUGGGCACUGUCUCAACGAGAGACUCGGUGAAAUCAUAGUACCUGUGAAGAUGCAGGUUACCCGCGACAGGACGGAAAGACCCCGUGGAGCUUUACUGUAGCCUGAUAUUGAAAUUCGGCACAGCUUGUACAGGAUAGGUAGGAGCCUUUGAAACGUGAGCGCUAGCUUACGUGGAGGCGCUGGUGGGAGACUACCCUAGCUGUGUUGGCUUUCUAACCCGCACCACUUAUCGUGGUGGGAGACAGUGUCAGGCGGGCAGUUUGACUGGGGCGGUCGCCUCCUAAAAGGUAACGGAGGCGCUCAAAGGUUCCCUCAGAAUGGUUGGAAAUCAUUCAUAGAGUGUAAAGGCAUAAGGGAGCUUGACUGCGAGACCUACAAGUCGAGCAGGGUCGAAAGACGGACUUAGUGAUCCGGUGGCUCCGCAUGGAAGGGCCAUCGCUCAACGGAUAAAAGCUACCCCGGGGAUAACAGGCUUAUCUCCCCCAAGAGUUCACAUCGACGGGGAGGUUUGGCACCUCGAUGUCGGCUCAUCGCAUCCUGGGGCUGUAGUCGGUCCCAAGGGUUGGGCUGUUCGCCCAUUAAGCGGUACGCGAGCUGGGUUCAGAACGUCGUGAGACAGUUCGGUCCCUAUCCGUCGUGGGCGUAGGAAAUUUGAGAGGAGCUGUCCUUAGUACGAGAGGACCGGGAUGGACAUACCUCUGGUGUACCAGUUGUCGUGCCAACGGCAUAGCUGGGUAGCUAUGUGUGGACGGGAUAAGUGCUGAAAGCAUCUAAGCAUGAAGCCCCCCUCAAGAUGAGAUUUCCCAACUUCGGUUAUAAGAUCCCUCAAAGAUGAUGAGGUUAAUAGGUUCGAGGUGGAAGCAUGGUGACAUGUGGAGCUGACGAAUACUAAUCGAUCGAAGACUUAAUCAA
This 2920-nucleotide ribosomal RNA is filed under the name Staphylococcus aureus. RNAcentral's name for it is "bacterial LSU rRNA". It matches the Rfam family "Bacterial large subunit ribosomal RNA". The record is from RNAcentral. Lineage: Bacteria; Bacillati; Bacillota; Bacilli; Caryophanales; Staphylococcaceae.